RNAcentral lists this ribosomal RNA (449 nucleotides) under uncultured bacterium. RNAcentral describes it as "bacterial SSU rRNA". It matches the Rfam family "Bacterial small subunit ribosomal RNA", at positions 354 to 796 of the family's 1533-position model. The record is from RNAcentral.
GUCGAGAGGCUUCGGCAAUGGGGGAAACCCUGACCGAGCGACGCCGCGUGCGGGAUGAAGGCCUUCGGGUUGUAAACCGCUGUCAGGAGGGAAGAAUCCUGCCGGGCCAAUACCCCGGGAGUUGACGGUACCUCCAAAGGAAGCUCCGGCUAACUCCGUGCCAGCAGCCGCGGUAAUACGGAGGGAGCGAACGUUGUUCGGAUUUACUGGGCGUAAAGGGCGCGUAGGCGGCUUUGCAAGUCCGAGGUGAAAUGUCCCGGCUCAACCGGGGAUCUGCCUUGGAAACUGCUCAGCUUGAGGGCGUGAGAGGAGACUGGAAUUCCUAGUGUAGCGGUGAAAUGCAUAGAUAUUAGGAAGAACACCAGUGGCGAAGGCGAGUCUCUGGCACGAUCCUGACGCUGAGGCGCGAAAGCUAGGGGAGCAAACGGGAUUAGAUACCCCGGUAGUCC